Non-coding RNA from Capsicum annuum, 106 nucleotides. Lineage: Eukaryota; Viridiplantae; Streptophyta; Magnoliopsida; Solanales; Solanaceae. The record is from Rfam.
ACUUUAUGGUUUGGGCAUUGCAUGAUUUUCUCAUUGAACCUUUGCCACACUUCAUAUAAGGGUUCAUCACUAAAUUGAUGAAAAUUUGUAAUUCCAUCCCUUAGUU